GGGGCCGACUGGUUUUGACAGCAGGUCGAAUUGAAUGGUAAGCACGCCGGGAACGGGGACAUAUCCCGUAAAUAAUGUCUCAAACAAUUAAACGGCGAAAAUAACUACGCUCUUGCUGCUUAAUUCUGAAUUUAUAGUAAGAAUAUAGCCACGUCCCUGCAAGGCAGGGAGGCGGGAUCCUUCUGAAAAGCCCUGGUUUAUGGCGUUUCGAUUAGAAGGACCGUAAAUAUAGACCUGGGGACAGUUUUGCUCUGCGGCUGUCCCGAGACUUAAGGAGCUAAGUGGUGUGUGGCAGUUUCCGGCCUUGCACACCAACGAAAACCCAAGCGGAAACUAAGCGUGUAGAAAGCUCUUGAAUUGCCUGUUUGGACCCGGGUUCGAUUCCCGGCGGCUCCACAA
RNAcentral lists this transfer-messenger RNA (399 nucleotides) under Flavobacterium sp. It matches the Rfam family "transfer-messenger RNA". Rfam says of the family: Bacterial tmRNA, also known as 10Sa RNA or SsrA, is named for its dual tRNA and mRNA-like properties. RNAcentral also lists the same sequence under 1 other name. The record is from RNAcentral. Lineage: Bacteria; Pseudomonadati; Bacteroidota; Flavobacteriia; Flavobacteriales; Flavobacteriaceae.